CCUACGGGAGGCUGCAGUCGAGAAUCAUUCACAAUGGGGGAAACCCUGAUGGUGCGACGCCGCGUGGGGGAAUGAAGGUCUUCGGAUUGUAAACCCCUGUCAUGUGGGAGCAAAUUAAAAAGAUAGUACCACAAGAGGAAGAGACGGCUAACUCUGUGCCAGCAGCCGCGGUACUACAGAGGUCUCAAGCGUUGUUCGGAAUCACUGGGCGUAAAGCGUGCGUAGGCUGUUUCGUAAGUCGUGUGUGAAAGGCGCGGGCUCAACCCGCGGACGGCACAUGAUACUGCGAGACUAGAGUAAUGGGGGGGGAACCGGAAUUCUCGGUGUAGCAGUGAAAUGCGUAGAUAUCGAGAGGAACACUCGUGGCGAAGGCGGGUUCCUGGACAUUAACUGACGCUGAGGCACGAAGGCGAGGGGAGCGAAAGGGAUUAGAUACCCCAGUAGUC
This 446-nucleotide ribosomal RNA is filed under the name uncultured bacterium. RNAcentral's name for it is "partial 16S ribosomal RNA". It matches the Rfam family "Bacterial small subunit ribosomal RNA", at positions 338 to 795 of the family's 1533-position model. The record is from RNAcentral.